GUUAGUUCGAAGAAAGCGCAGGAGAAUAAUAUAAGGAGAAUAAGUAAAAAAAUCGAGGAAAAACAUUUCGUAUAGAAAAAUAGAAUGAAAAAAUGAGGAAAAUAGGCAACAUAGUCAGGAGAACAACUAUAUAGUUGCACCGACCGUCCCUCAAGCAAGUGACAAAGGGCUUGGUGGUUGGUACCCGAGACCCAAGUUCGAAUUUUAGUUGAUUCACAUUUCCAGCUAAGUUUAUUUCUAAAUGAAAUAAAUGAAGCGGAUAGCGUGCUACCUAUCUCUCAAAAAAAAAGAAAAAAAGAAAAAAAAACUAUAUAGUUGCAUUUCUACACAUUCUAAGCAAAAUUUUAU
Molecule: long non-coding RNA, 348 nt
Filed under: Ananas comosus (pineapple)
Lineage: Eukaryota; Viridiplantae; Streptophyta; Magnoliopsida; Poales; Bromeliaceae
Description: long non-coding RNA (ACOM_LNC042759)
Source: RNAcentral